Molecule: small nucleolar RNA, 83 nt
Organism: Zeugodacus cucurbitae (melon fly)
Lineage: Eukaryota; Metazoa; Arthropoda; Insecta; Diptera; Tephritidae
Product: small nucleolar RNA Me28S-Cm3227
Exons: 1
Source: RefSeq, a predicted model, not a curated record
GUAUUUAAAUGAUGAUAAAAUGAAGCUGAUUAAAAGUCAUGCUGAAUACACACAUUAAUUAACCAAAAGGAUUCUGAAAAUAC